This is a non-coding RNA of Ictidomys tridecemlineatus (thirteen-lined ground squirrel), 69 nucleotides long. The record is from Rfam. NCBI's taxonomy places the organism in Eukaryota, Metazoa, Chordata, Mammalia, Rodentia, Sciuridae.
GGGGCUGUAGCUCAGUGGUAGAGCAUUUGCUUCACAGGUGUGAGGCCCUGGGUUCGAUCCUCAGCACCA